AUUUGGAGUUGGGCCUAGGGCCCACGGCGAGCCGUGGCCUUUCAUAUACACUAAUGGAUACCCUCAUCGCGUCUUUUCCCGCACUCUCUCGACGAUCGUCUUCGCCUGGGUUUCCUUUGUUUGUAGAAUUGACAAGCCUAAAGAUACACUCAAAUGGCUGGUCCUAGGAUUGCCCAUGCUACCUUGAAAGGUCCAAGUGUGGUAAAGGAGAUAUUAAUUGGAAUAACACUCGGCAUUGCUGCUGGUAGUGUGUGGAAGAUGCACCACUGGAAUGAGCAGAGGAAAAUCAGGACCUUCUACGAUUUACUUGAAAAAGGUGAGAUCGGUGUUGUUGUGGAGGAACAGUAGAACUGUUCUUGCUUUGUUGCCUAUGCUCUUCAUAUAUAUAGGCUUUUUUCCCCUGCUAUAUUCAAUUGGCUCUUUAAAUGUAAAUGAGCCAACUAAC
RNAcentral lists this small RNA (445 nucleotides) under Vigna angularis var. angularis. RNAcentral describes it as "Non-protein coding transcript". Lineage: Eukaryota; Viridiplantae; Streptophyta; Magnoliopsida; Fabales; Fabaceae. The record is from RNAcentral.